This is a non-coding RNA of Rattus norvegicus (Norway rat), 69 nucleotides long. Lineage: Eukaryota; Metazoa; Chordata; Mammalia; Rodentia; Muridae. The record is from Rfam.
GGGGAUUUAGCUCAGUGGUAGAGCACUUGCCUAGCAAGCACAAGGCCCUGGGUUCAGUCCCCAGCUCCG